AGGAGGCGAGGUACGCGAAGCCGUGGAGAGGCAGGCGACCGCCGCAUCGCCAGCGACCAGGGCCGCAUCAGUGACGCGUGCGACACCUAGGCACAGCCAGGAUUCAAGUCACACCGGAGCAAGGCGCCGGAACCACGCCGGCGACCUAGCCCCGCAAGCACCGAAACCCUAGCGAGGUUUGACCGAAGCGAGCGACCACACGAGGCAGGGGAAAGCAGAUCGAAGAGGUGGAGCAGGUAGAGCUCGGUGAGGGGGAGCCGUGGGUAUGCUGGACGGCGCCAGAGCUCGCCGGAGUUGGCAGGGGAGGCCGGCGGCAGGGGCGGCGAUUUGGGG
RNAcentral lists this long non-coding RNA (333 nucleotides) under Triticum aestivum (bread wheat). Its description in RNAcentral is "long non-coding RNA (TAES_LNC009017)". Lineage: Eukaryota; Viridiplantae; Streptophyta; Magnoliopsida; Poales; Poaceae. The record is from RNAcentral.